This is a long non-coding RNA of Gasterosteus aculeatus aculeatus (three-spined stickleback), 6085 nucleotides long. Lineage: Eukaryota; Metazoa; Chordata; Actinopteri; Perciformes; Gasterosteidae. The record is from Ensembl.
CAAACACACACAGACACACUCACACACACACACACACACACACACACACACACACACACAUACACACACAUACACACACACACACAGACACACAAUGCUUUGACAAGAUUGUUGAUUCGCCAAGUUAAAGGAAGAAAAGCACAUGUUUACUAGUGUGAAUGUGAUGUUGUACAGAUGAGAUGAACAAACUGGAUCCUCACAAGCAACUAAAUCGUUCUGAUAAAAUAAGCACAAUGUGCUGAUAAUCCAGUACAACAACUAAGUACUUUAGUUAUUCAAACCUAACUAAGUACCUCGUUUAACCUUAACUAAGUUAAAGGACUUCAUAGUCAACUUCUCUGUGUUUUGAAGUAGAAAUGGAAUAUUGGACCUCUGAUGUUCCGGAUCGUCUCCGGGGGACAUUUAAUGAGCCUCGGCUCAGAAGGCGACUUUUGAUGGUGAAUCGUCCAGCGUCGUCAUGCUGAGUCCUCUUCAUUGUGCUGUGAGUUAUUCACAGCCGUCCUCCUGCAUUGCUCUUUUCUUUGGUCCUCGUAGACAUGAUGAUGAAGCGCUGUCCUCACAUCAGGCGUUCUGUUCAGAACGUCUACGAGGAACCAACGUUCCCUCAAUGACGCAAGAAUCUAGACGUCUCCUCAGUGAACAGAGAGCAAAGAGAAUCACAUCCUGUGGGUUGGCUCCUCCUCUCCUGUAUGCAUGUACUUAUAUACCCGUACACAAAGUAUUACUAUGGUAAAGGGUGUAAAUGGCAAUCUGCCUGUAAGCUCCAGGCGAUCAGCUGUUUCUGUCUCUAAUGGUUGUUCAUGACUCACAGUGGUCUCCCAUCGACUGAGGGAACAUUGCUAAUGAAGGGAGGGAACGGGGGGAGGAGGAGGAGAGAGGGAGGAACAGGACAGGAGGCGUGUCAAAGUAAAAGCAGAGCUCCGCCCACCAGGAACGAGCCCUUAUUGUCACUUAAAUAACGUAAAUAUGAAGCGAGUUCUUUGCUUCUUCUUCUAAUCGACAGCUGAAUGAAUCUAAAACCGAAGCUCUGAAUCAUUAUCACAUGCAGAUCUCUGCAGUACAUCAAAUAUACACGCAGAAAGCCCCCCCAAGAAUAUUUUAAAACAUUUUUAAUUCAUGAAAUACUUUUCAAACCAUAAUUACUAAGUAUAUAACCUCACAGAUUCCCUAAAGUUAACAAAUUGUUUUCUUCUUAUAAAGAGUUUUUGUUUCACAAAUCGAGCACUUGAUCUGCAUCCAAAGAUGAAUUCAAUUUGUGUGAAUUUAUGUGAAGUUACUAGUUACUUGUUUCCGCUAAUCCACUAAUCCGCUAAUCCACUAAUCUACUAAUCCAACCUAAAACAAUCCACACGCCUCAGUCUUCAACCCGCCGACGGCUCCUCAGAGACCAAUUAGACUCACACACCUGAGACGCAGGAAACCACACACACACCGCACACAAGCACACGCACACAGAGUGUUACCCCCCCCCUCCCCCCAUGUCGCUCGCCUCGCUUCAUUUCCAUGCAGAUUAUGUCGAACGAAUCGAAGAUGCAGAACAAAGCGAAGACAUUCGUGUUUGAGCUUCACAUCGAACAGAGAAGGAUGAUUGUUUUCUGCACGGAGACACAGAAAGACGCAGCAGAUUUUCAUCUGUGACUCUUUGACAUUAACUUUACUUCACUGACUCCUUUAGGCGUGCAGGAGUUUGUUGCCACGGUGACGGCACUCACUGGGUUACGGACCUCAGAUCGGUCCUUUUGUUAAUCAACCGGUGAACAGGAAGUGACCAUAUAAGGACUGAGGAGGACGUAGAGACGGCGUAUACGUCUGGUAGAGACCUGUCAAUCAGCGUGUAGGCCCGCCCUAAAGCACCUCCUGCUUUAUGGUGUAUUUAUAUCCAACAGUAAGUCCGUUGCCUCCACGUUAUAUUUACACGUAAUAAAAAACCUUUGCUCACACUUCAAGGUUUUCACAGAGAACGAGAGACUCACACUGUGUGGUUAACGGCGCACACACACAGACUCACACACACACACACACACAGUUUGUAACUAAAAAUACCCUUUUUUUCUCUUCCUCUCUUAUUUUUUUUCUUCUCUAUUGUUUUCUUUUUCUGCCACAAAGAGAGUUUUUUAAUAUAUUCUUUUAUUUUCUAAAAACAAACGUGCAACACACAUGGCGACGCUGUGGUCCAAUCAAUGAACCCGUAGCCGAUCUGCACCCGGGCUCCGCCUCUCAGCCGUGCUCCUGCAGCACCACCUCCUCCUCCGUCAGCGGCCCCUGCAGGUCCCCGUUGAUUAGCAUCCAACCAGCUGCACAUUUUGUAUCGAGCAGCACUUUGUGAGCGCCCCAAAGGAUUCUGGGUGAUGGUUUGUUUGUCCCUCCAUAAGGGAGAGGCGCCUUUAAACGGAGCGCUCGGUUUGGACGCCUCGGGCCCCCCCCCUCUUUCCUUCAGCAGAAGGCCGGCGCGUGUCCAUGAAUUAUUAAUCGCACAGACUUUAAAAUAAUUGAGAAGAGUUUUUGUCUGCUUUCAUGCCGCUACAAAAGGCCACGGCGAGUAAUUACAUUUAACGGGUUCACUUGGGCGCUGAGAUGAACACAGCAGAGACAUGAGAAUAGUCAGCUGACAGGAAGUAGGAAGUAGAGGGGUUUAAAUCCAAACACAUUUUUCUCCCCCAACUUCCUGCUUCUUGUCUCUCCGACGUCUUCGGGGAAGAAACAAAAGACAAAGUGACUUAAGACAAGGAGGACAAGACGUUCUUCUUCUGGACCGACAGGAAGGGACACGUGAACAGGCGUGUGCGUGUGUGUGACAUCAUCAAGGUGCGUCGCUCAGACCCCCUCGUUUCACAUCCUUCAGCUCAUCUGGAAGAGACUCGCCAACUGGACCCGGGGGGGUUACAGUCUGCCCCUUCAGGCCCAACUGGUCUCCAAUCCAAAGGCCGCUCUGUGACCGUUUCCCAGAAUGCUCUGGGUGUGAUGGAGCUUAUGAGCUCACGAGGGACUCGUCUCUCCAACGCCAUUGAUUUAGCGGAGCAGUCGGUCCUGAAGCAGUUCUGUGCGGAUCCUUGGAGAAAACCAGGAGGCCUCUGAGGAGCUCCAGACCAGCUCCAUGUCCUCAAGGUCACCAAGUCCACAGAAAGCUCAGAAGCUCAGGGAGACACGUGGAGGAACCUCGUUGGUCAAUGAACCACUUCAUUCUUUAUCAUAAGAUGUGAUCCGUCGUUUGUUAUUAUGUGAUGUAGAUAAAUGAAAACUAUUGAUUCACACACACACACACACACACAUUGUAGAGUGUGUGUGUGUGUGUGUGUGUGUGUGUGCGCACACAGCCUGAGGUGUUGAGCUGAAUGACAAAUGUUUGCCAUGGUGCUCAUAACGCUGAGAGCAGAACACCAGUACAACCUACUGUGUGUGUGUGUGUGUGUGUGUGUGUGUGUGUGUGUGUGCGUCACAGCUGCAUCGUGUUGUGUAUGUUUACACACUAUUGUGUCUCUCUCAUCGUUUCAUCACAUAUUUGUAGAGAUUACAGAUCAGAGUCCAGCAGAUAAACUCUGAUCCUGGUACUUCUCGUAGUACUCGUAGUACUCGUAGUACCACUGGCUGUACAUGAGCAGUAGUGUUUGUGUCUUAGUUGUUGUGACCUUUUUGUGAAGCCUUUAGUUUGACACAAGUUGUAUCCUGACCCCGAAGCAGCUUGGUGUAAUUAAGUCUGCAGCUCAUGGUUUCUACGUCACACGUACGUAUCAGAGCUCUGACUCUCUUCACGUCACCUGACACGAGACACGUGUGUUUAUUCGUUCAGGGACAAAAGUCUCUCUGACAGCCGGCGGCCAUUGAAACGCCUCCGUACCAUCAUCGGACCACCGGCGAGGGCAUCGCCGCCGUUUCUGGUCCAUCAUGUCAACACGUUCUGCCUCACACCAGGACAGCCUGGGAGACGUGGACGGCAGGUUAAAGCCACCCUGCGAUUGGCCGGUCUGCGUUCCGGAGGCGGGACUUGGUGGGUCUUUGAAACACCGUCACUGACUCAUAACUACCUACGUGUGAUUUUAUACGAGGAACUGGCGGGAUGAUUGAACUACGUGAGAUCUGAAAUGUUCUUAACUGUGAUGUCAUACAGCUGAGGCUCCGCCUCCUCCAUCCUUCAACAAUCUUCUCGCUCUGGGUUUCUCGCCUCGAGAGGUUUUAUAUCUCCCCGAGGACGCGGCGUGGAGAUACGAGGAAACGGGGAAAAGAAGAUUUAUUCCGUUGAUCAUUUCCAUCAGAGCACUUCAGCAAACGAGAGGAUUCAGAGCCACAGAACCGAUAUGUUAUAAAACGGAGGCUUCGCUCCAAUCAGGUCCGAUUUAUUUCAUUCUCAUUCUUCUUCAGGUGGCUUCGCUUUAUUGGUCUUCUAGUUUGGCCUCUAGGCGAAGGGUUAGUACUGGUUUAAGAUAUUCCACUACUGGUUUAACACAGGCUAGUACUGGUUUAAGAUGCACUACUGGUAGAAGCAGUCUUAUACUCUAAUGAUGGUUUUGCAGUCUAGAAGCAGAGGAAGAGCCUUGCUGCUCUUUGUCUGGCUGCAGAUGUUCCAGAUGUCAAGCUGCUCAGAGCCGACAACCAGCAGCUCAGGUUCGGUUCUCAAUCGGUCCAGUUCUCAGCUUGGAGGUCACACGUCUGAGGCCUCCCGCGGAGAAGAGGACUCGAGGAGGGAAACUGACAGGAACUCAUUUCUGCCCCUUUCAGCCCACAAAGGAGCCACACGGCUGAAAAGCUGCAGGCUUCCCUCUGAAUGUUCCCCAGAAGCAGCCGACCUGCGUUCAGAAAAUGAUUCCUGCUAUUUUGUCCCAGGACUUGUGUGUGUUCAUGUCUCCUGCAGCAACAAAGGUCCUUUGUGCUGUUCAGAGACGGAGCUACACACACACACACACACACACACAAAGGUCCAUCUUCACUUUACUGGAUCUGUCCUCCAACACGUCUCCAUCUCUGCUGCUUCUUUUACUCCUUAAAACUGAUCUCAUCCGGCAUUCGUGGCAAAGCCUCAGGAAAGGAACGCGUCCUAAUCUCCAGAUAUCCCACAAAAGACUAAUUAUUUUGAAUGACGUGUACAGCUAGUAAGUAAGUUUAUUUUUAAAAGACUGUAUUCAUGUAAGAAGCAGAAAUACUGCACAUCUUGAUGUCUUCUGUAAAAAAAAAAGAGCACGAAAAUGAGGAGAAUCUUUUCUUACGAUAUCGGACUGUUGUGUGGCGAACAGUUACAGUGCCUGGGGCUUUUAUUGUGAAAGGUUACACCAGAAGCAGUGUAUCUGGCCUGUGUAUUGAACCUAUUGAACACAUCUGCUCCUCCUCAUGUGAUCGAUGCCUUCAUCCACCUCCUGAGGUUUUUACCUUGCGUUCUAUGUGGGGAAACAACAGCUGUAAACAUAAAUAUUGACUCCGGCGGCCUCGAGGUCCGCGGUCCACAACCUUCUUAUUUAACUAAAUAACAGCUUUCCUCUGUAAUUACACCACUCUGGAUGAUAACGUGUAACAACACGAGGAAGGUGGGAACGUCAAUUAUUCCUUCAAUAGCCUUUUGGCCUCAGUGGGCCUGUGUGUGUGUGCAGUGAUUCUCCCUGCGUUGACCUUUGACCCUCUGUGUGUAAAGCAUGAGCUGGAGGAGAUAUUUACAUGUGUUUCCCUGAGCUGUUCGUCUGGAUGCAGGCUGGCGUGGCGCCCUGGGGGGGGGGGGGGGGUCUGACAGGACCCGCAGCUCCUGGUUGUGGAUUCUGUGUUUACGCUGAUGGUCACAGACUUCUUCAUUAGACCCGAACACUCGUCUCCCGAGUCCUCGGCUCUUCUUCUGCUCGUCUCUCACCUGGAGGCCUUUUUGUCGUCCAACUUUUCUACAGGUGAAUGCUGGGAAUGUGACCUGUCACUCAAAAGCAGUGCUGGGGGGGCUCUGUAAUGUAAAAGGGGGGAGGUGAGAGGAAGAGUCUCUUCUGUCCUUCACAUCUGCACCCACCCCCUCAAACCUGCCCCCACUUCCUCUAACCUGCCCCCCCUCCCUCAAACCUGCCCCCACUCCCUCUAACCUGCCCCCCCUCCCUCAAACCUGCCCCCACUCCCUCUAACC